CACGUAAAGAACCUGCCUCAUAGACUGGGAUAACUAUUGGAAACGAUAGCUAAUACCGGAUAACAGCAUUAACUGCAUGGUUGAUGUUUAAAAGUUGGUUUUGCUAACACUAUGAGAUGGCUUUGCGGUGCAUUAGCUAGUUGGUGGGGUAAAGGCCUACCAAGGCGACGAUGCAUAGCCGACCUGAGAGGGUGAUCGGCCACACUGGGACUGAGACACGGCCCAG
This 226-nucleotide ribosomal RNA is filed under the name uncultured bacterium. RNAcentral describes it as "partial 16S ribosomal RNA". It matches the Rfam family "Bacterial small subunit ribosomal RNA", at positions 114 to 334 of the family's 1533-position model. The record is from RNAcentral.